Molecule: long non-coding RNA, 659 nt
Organism: Bactrocera tryoni
Lineage: Eukaryota; Metazoa; Arthropoda; Insecta; Diptera; Tephritidae
Exons: 3
Source: RefSeq, a predicted model, not a curated record
AAAAACGAAUGACAUACGCUUUGGAGACUUUCCAGAUUCGACGUACUUUUCCUAUUUUCUUCCGCGUUUAUUUAUUUAUGCAUAUGUGUACAUAUGUAUAUGUUUUAUACACUAAUAUGUGUCAAGACCCGGAGUCUGCCUCGGUUAAUAACUUGGAUAACCGCGAAAAGGCUGGGCAUUUGAACUCAGCAGGGAAGUGAAAAAGCUUCCGGUUCGUUAGUGGUCUUGUUGUACUUAAGUUCGGUUCAUUGGAUGCUCGUGCAGUUUAUGGGAGACGAUUUGCCUGUUUAUGUCUACAAUAUCGAUUUUCAACUAGGUGGUGUGCAAUGUGGUGAAUAGUGGGCGACAUGCGCUGCUCAAGAGGUGGAUUAUGCGCGUAUGUUCGAUAUUUGGCACAUGCUCAGUGUUUGGAAAACAGAGAAAAUUCAUAUAAAAACUGGAGUUUAAUGGAAAAUAUGUAUUUUUAUUCAUUCAUUGAGCUAUAAUAGCGUUUUCUAGUGCAUCGAGUUGAUUUUACUUAAACAGAAACUUGCCGGCGCCACACCCUUUUUAAUGACAACAAAUGACGAGUCAGAAACCCUGCCAAAAAUUAUGUCGUCUGGCGACAACCUGCUUAAUAACAAUUUGUCAGUAAUAUAUUUAUUAUGCCUGAGAAAUUA